AGAUAUUCAGGACAGAAAGAGUGUGAGUUCUGGAAAGCAAGUGGAGACCAGGCCGCGCCAUCACUAUCGGAGGGAAGUUAAGAGACCUGAUCUGGGACUUCGAUCAAUUGUAUACAUCUGGACUGGGAGUGUUAACGUUGUGAAGUGGACGGAGCCAUCGUUGGGUGAGUGCUGGCUCUAUUUGCACUAAGAGUGGGUGUGCCGUGUCUGAAGUGGUGUGUCUGCACAAUAAAUCGUUUGAAGUGAAGUUACAGAGUGUGGGGAAGAUAUGUAGAGUUAAUGCCGGACGCUCACCACCCCGAGAGCCCACCACCGUCACCGUAAUCCACACCCAGGCACUGACCGAAGCAUCUCCCAGCCGUAAGCCCCAUUACUUAUUCAAGAACACCUACUUACUGUUGAUUACUUACUCUGCUGUGCAGAUCGCAGGAUCCUCUGGGCUGAACGCCGCAUGUGAUGUCCCUAUGAAAGGAGGUGGACACACGAAUUAUUCCUUUCUCGGUCUUAACUGAAGCAUCUCCCAGCCGUAAGCCCAUCACCCAUUAAAGACUACAUACCUGCUGUCGAUUGCUUACUCUGCUGUGCAGAUCGUAGGAUCCCCUGGGACGAAUGCUGCAUGUGAUGUCCCUAUGAAAAGAGAUUGCAGGAUCCUCUGGGCUGGACGCUGCAUGUGAUGUCCCUGUAAAAGGAGGUGGACACGAGAAUUAUUCCUUUUCCCGGUCUCGACCGAAACAUCCACGAGCUCUACUUACCCGGAUAUCCCCCCCUCAUUCCGGGACGGGUGACAGACUAUCCUGGCUCUUGCCGGCCCCGUACAGGCACGAACUGCCGACGACUCCACGCCUCCCCGGCGUCCGAGGUCUGGCUUCGUUCUGGUCGGGAGACACG
This is a long non-coding RNA of Cyprinus carpio carpio, 888 nucleotides long. NCBI's taxonomy places the organism in Eukaryota, Metazoa, Chordata, Actinopteri, Cypriniformes, Cyprinidae. The record is from Ensembl.